RNAcentral lists this ribosomal RNA (260 nucleotides) under uncultured bacterium. Its description in RNAcentral is "partial 16S ribosomal RNA". It matches the Rfam family "Bacterial small subunit ribosomal RNA", at positions 333 to 585 of the family's 1533-position model. The record is from RNAcentral.
CGUCGCCUACGGGAGGCAGCAGUAGGGAAUCUUCCACAAUGGACGAAAGUCUGAUGGAGCAACGCCGCGUGAGUGAAGAAGGGUUUCGGCUCGUAAAACUCUGUUGGUAGUGAAGAAAGAUAGAGGUAGUAACUGGCCUUUUUUUGACGGUAAUUACUUAGAAAGUCACGGCUAACUACGUGCCAGCAGCCGCGGUAAUACGUAGGUGGCAAGCGUUGUCCGGAUUUAUUGGGUUUAAAGGGAGCGUAGGUGGAUUGUUA